Molecule: long non-coding RNA, 1154 nt
Organism: Gavialis gangeticus (Gharial)
Lineage: Eukaryota; Metazoa; Chordata; Crocodylia; Gavialidae
Exons: 3
Source: RefSeq, a predicted model, not a curated record
CCGCGGGGUAAGACAGGGAUCCUGCCCUGGUCCCGGGGCCUUUGCCAGGGCAGAGUGGCGCUGCUGUCUUCCUGCAGUCAGAAAACACCGAGUGAAAAGAGCUGGUUUCCUGCUUUAUCCAAGGCCUCUGGAACAGGCUGCUGAUCCAGCACCAGGUACUUCAUCUGGAAAUAGCCUCAUCAUGUGCAACACUACUGUGGCAGUGGGAAAAGGAAGAGAUCUUCUCAUAGCUACAAUACAACAUACUGGCAUAUGCAGAAAGUGUUGUCUUCCCCACUACCUCCCAGUCAGCUCCACAACUUACUUCUGCAGAGCUGUUUGUUUCUCCUCUAUUAUCAGCUUCUGAAUAGAUCGGCCUCCCACAGAGACAAGAUCUGCAACCUUUCAAGAUUGCACAGCAUGAAAGGGCAUGGCUAUUUUUUUCCUGAAUGGAGAUUUUUUUUAUAGAUAAGUCCUGAAUGAUAAGAAAAAUAUCAUUAACAUAAACAAUUACAGGAUUUGUCUUUUGUGAACUCUGCUGCCGCCAGAAUCCCCCAAAUGAAAAUAUAGCCUUGGAUAUCCUUUGGGCUACAUUACUCUUUAUAAGCCAGGCAGUUAAGCACAAAUAAAAACAGCUAUUUGUUACAGUUCUCAUCUCUUACAUUGAAUUCAUUUUGCAGAUCUGAAUUAGGGUCUGCUGCUGCAUAUGUAGCACACCUCUAUCUUUGAUUUCAGUCAACAGACAAAAGAAGAGGUAUAGAGAAGAGACUAAACCGGGGUGGGCAAAACGUGGCCUGGGGGCUAGAUGCAGCCUGCCAGGCCAUUCUAUCUGGCCCGUGGGGCCCCUAAAAAAUGUAGAAAAUUAAUAAUAAUCUGCCCUGGGGUGUCUGUAACGCGGCCGUCAAUGGUUUUCCAAAACUCAGUAAGCGGCCCUCUGCCCAAAAUAAUUGCCUGCCCUUGGACUAAACUCAAAAGACAAGACAAGGUGUAAGUGAAAUUUAAACCCCCCAGUUCUGGCUAGGAGAAUGAUUCCUCCACCAAGAUGCUGCAGUAGAGGCAGCCCCAAGGCUCCCACCAAAGAACCAUCUCAUCAGUCAUGGUGUAGGUAGCAUGCUAGUGUAGUAGGGCUUACCUUUUCGGGGCUUGGGUUGAGUCCCAGGAUUGAGGGUCUGCUG